RNAcentral lists this transfer RNA (87 nucleotides) under Melampsora pinitorqua Mpini7. Its description in RNAcentral is "tRNA-Leu (CAA) (tRNA-Leu-CAA-1-1)". It matches the Rfam family "tRNA". From Rfam's summary of the family: Transfer RNA (tRNA) molecules are approximately 80 nucleotides in length. The record is from RNAcentral. Lineage: Eukaryota; Fungi; Basidiomycota; Pucciniomycetes; Pucciniales; Melampsoraceae.
GUCAAGAUGGCUGAGUGUUCUAAGGCGCUAGACUCAAGUUCUGGUCCUCGCUUGAGGGUGUGGGUUCUUCAAAUCCCACUUCUGACA